Molecule: long non-coding RNA, 292 nt
Filed under: Nicotiana benthamiana
Lineage: Eukaryota; Viridiplantae; Streptophyta; Magnoliopsida; Solanales; Solanaceae
Description: long non-coding RNA (NBEN_LNC036672)
Source: RNAcentral
GAAUUCAUUCUGGAUUCUAGGAACAUGUCGGAAUUCUGUCUGUGUGAACCUCUUUCUCAAUUCCUGCACGUGAUGUAAAUACGAUAGUAUCUUGGAGUUCUUUGUUGUACAUUCUUCUCGGACCUGAUGUAUGAGUAGUUCUAAACCCCCAAUCACUAGCAACUCUUGUAUGUUCAGUCAAUAGCCAUCUUGAGCCCUAAGAUGCAGGCUUCAUACUCGGCCAUAUUGUCUGUGCACGGGAACCUGAGUUUGGUAAACACCGGAUAAUGUUGACCGGUUUCUGAUACUAGAA